This 253-nucleotide non-coding RNA is filed under the name uncultured bacterium. RNAcentral describes it as "partial 16S ribosomal RNA". It matches the Rfam family "Bacterial small subunit ribosomal RNA", at positions 524 to 776 of the family's 1533-position model. The record is from RNAcentral. RNAcentral also lists the same sequence under 2 other names.
UACGGAGGGUGCAAGCGUUAUCCGGAUUCACUGGGUUUAAAGGGUGCGUAGGCGGCUAAAUAAGUCAGUGGUGAAAGCCCGCAGCUCAACUGCGGAAUUGCCAUUGAAACUGUCUAGCUUGAAUCUGGUUGAAGUGGGCGGAAUACAUCAUGUAGCGGUGAAAUGCUUAGAUAUGAUGUAGAACACCGAUUGCGAAGGCAGCUCACUAAGCCAACAUUGACGCUGAGGCACGAAAGCGUGGGUAGCGAACAGG